Molecule: ribosomal RNA, 433 nt
Filed under: uncultured bacterium
Lineage: Bacteria
Description: partial 16S ribosomal RNA
Rfam family: Bacterial small subunit ribosomal RNA
Source: RNAcentral
AACGAACGCUGGCGGCAUGCCUAACACAUGCAAGUCGAACGAGACCUUCGGGUCUAGUGGCGCACGGGUGCGUCACGCGUGGGAACCUGCCCUUAGGUUCGGAAUAACUCCCCGAAAGGGGUGCUAAUACCGGAUAAUGUCUUCGGACCAAAGAUUUAUCGCCCUUGGGUGGGCCCGCGUUGGAUUAGCUAGUUGGUAGGGUAAAAGCCUACCAAGGCGACGAUCCAUAGCUGGUCUGAGAGGAUGAUCAGCCACACUGGGACUGAGACACGGCCCAGACUCCUACGGGAGGCAGCAGUGGGGAAUAUUGGACAAUGGGCGAAAGCCUGAUCCAGCUAUGCCUCGUGAGUGAUGAAGGCCUUAGGGUUGUAAAGCUCUUUUACCCGGGAUGAUAAUGACAGUACCGGGAGAAUAAGCUCCGGCUAACUCCGUG